ACAAAAUCGACAUUGACUCAGCAGCUGUGCCCACCAGUUUUUCAGUACCUGAGUUCAUCUUGGUUUGCUAAACUGAUCCUUAGAUGCCAGAUGCAGAAUCCCUGGUGGCACUACUAUACAAAGAUUUUUUUUCUUGGUAGGAACUAUCAGAGAUUGAGGUUUUCUGCUAAAGCCUUUGAGAAUCACGCCUCCACUCCAUAAUAGAGAAGAUUUAAACAGGCCCUUACCACUCUUCUGCCUUGUUCCAAGAUGGAAGGAUCUGGAUAAAGAAAAUAAUGGAAUUUUGCAAAAGUUUAUGGUGGUCUCCAGUCCCUGGAUUCAUCUCACUUGUGAAGAUGGACACACAAGUUAUUCUUCAAACAAUAUUUCUGCUACUGUAUUCUCUUGGUUCUGCUUAUUUCACUCUCAUAAUUCCAUGUAGUUCUUUACAUGUUUUUGUUAACCUGCUUAUCAUUUCUUAUGGCACACAGUCAUAUAUUACAACUUGUUUAACCAUUCUCCAAUUAAUUGGCAUCCACUCUUUUUUUCUAGUUCUUUGCUGCCACAAAGACAGAUUCUAUAAAUACCUGAACAUAUAUGUUCUUUUCCUUUUUCCCUGA
RNAcentral lists this long non-coding RNA (599 nucleotides) under Monodelphis domestica (gray short-tailed opossum). RNAcentral's name for it is "lncRNA (ENSMODG00000031282.2)". Lineage: Eukaryota; Metazoa; Chordata; Mammalia; Didelphimorphia; Didelphidae. The record is from RNAcentral.